Molecule: ribosomal RNA, 253 nt
Filed under: uncultured bacterium
Lineage: Bacteria
Description: partial 16S ribosomal RNA
Rfam family: Bacterial small subunit ribosomal RNA
Source: RNAcentral
UACGCAGGGGGCAAGCGUUGUCCGGAUUUAUUGGGCGUAAAGAGCGUGUAGGCGGUUAUGCAGGUCCGCUGUGAAAACUGGAGGCUUAACCUCCAGACGUCGGUGGAAACCGUAUGACUAGAGUCCGGAAGAGGAGAGUGGAAUUCCUGGUGUAGCGGUGAAAUGCGCAGAUAUCAGGAAGAACACCCGUGGCGAAGGCGGCUCUCUGGGACGGUACUGACGCUGAGACGCGAAAGCGUGGGGAGCGAACAGG